ACUAGUCGUCAUUUCGGGAUUUAAAGAGUGCAUUGCAACCCCUAAGUCUAAAAAAACAAGACUUUCAAAAGUUUCAAAAUCUUGGCACCAAACACCAACUUAGUCCAGUCUCACCACCAAACAUGGCUUGCUUGAACAGCAACUAAAUUCAAUAAUUUCUUGCACCUAUAUUUUGACACUAGUCCUCAUUUGGGGAUUUAAAGAGUGCAUUGUA
This 214-nucleotide long non-coding RNA is filed under the name Vigna radiata. Its description in RNAcentral is "long non-coding RNA (VRAD_LNC015640)". The record is from RNAcentral. Lineage: Eukaryota; Viridiplantae; Streptophyta; Magnoliopsida; Fabales; Fabaceae.